Molecule: non-coding RNA, 73 nt
Organism: Zootermopsis nevadensis
Lineage: Eukaryota; Metazoa; Arthropoda; Insecta; Blattodea; Termopsidae
Source: Rfam
AGUACGGUGGUCUAGCGGUUAGAACGCUGGCCUUGUAAUCCUGGGGUCUCGGGUUCGAUUCCCGGCGGUGCCC